AGCAGCCGCGGUAAUUCCAGCUCCAAUAGCGUAUAUUAAAGUUGUUGCAGUUAAAAAGCUCGUAGUUGAAUUUCGGGGUUAGUAGGUCGGUCAUGCCUCAGGUAUGCACUGGUCUCACUGAUUCCUCCUUCCUGAUGAGCCGUAAUGCCAUUAAUUUGGUGUUGCGGGGAAUCUGGACUGUUACUUUGAAAAAAUUAGAGUGUUUAAAGCAGGCUAACGCUUGAAUACAUUAGCAUGGAAUAAUGGAAUAGGACGUUCGAUCCUAUUUUGUUGGUUUCUAGGAUUGACGUAAUGAUUAAUAGGGAUAGUUGGGGGCAUUAGUAUUCAAUUGUCAGAGGUGAAAUUCUUGGAUUUAUUGAAGACUAACUACUGCGAAAGCAUUUGCCAAGGAUGUUUUCAUUAAUCAAGAACGAAAGUUAGGGGGAUCGAAGACGAUCAGAUACCGUCGUAGUCUUAACCAUAAACUAUGCCGACUAGGGAUCGGAUGAUGUUAAUUUUUUAAUGUACUCAUUCGGCCG
This 518-nucleotide ribosomal RNA is filed under the name uncultured Glomus. RNAcentral describes it as "SSU rRNA". It matches the Rfam family "Eukaryotic small subunit ribosomal RNA", at positions 569 to 1086 of the family's 1831-position model. The record is from RNAcentral. Lineage: Eukaryota; Fungi; Glomeromycota; Glomeromycetes; Glomerales; Glomeraceae.